GUGCUCGCUUUGGCAGCACAUAUACUAAAAUUUGAAUGAUACAGAGAAGAUUAGCAUGACCCCUGCGCAAGGAUGACAUGCAAAUUCGUGAAGUGUUCCAUAUAUAU
This 107-nucleotide small nuclear RNA is filed under the name Pteropus alecto (black flying fox). The record is from RNAcentral. Lineage: Eukaryota; Metazoa; Chordata; Mammalia; Chiroptera; Pteropodidae.